Molecule: ribosomal RNA, 386 nt
Filed under: uncultured bacterium
Lineage: Bacteria
Description: bacterial SSU rRNA
Rfam family: Bacterial small subunit ribosomal RNA
Source: RNAcentral
AUUGAACGCUGGCGGCAUGCUUUACACAUGCAAGUCGAACGGCAGCGGGGGCUUCGGCCCGCCGGCGAGUGGCGAACGGGUGAGUAAUGCAUCGGAACGUGCCCAGUCGUGGGGGAUAACACAUCGAAAGAUGUGCUAAUACCGCAUACGUCCUGAGGGAGAAAGCGGGGGAUCUUCGGACCUCGCGCGAUUGGAGCGGCCGAUGUCGGAUUAGCUAGUUGGUGGGGUAAAGGCCCACCAAGGCGACGAUCCGUAGCGGGUCUGAGAGGAUGAUCCGCCACACUGGGACUGAGACACGGCCCAGACUCCUACGGGAGGCAGCAGUGGGGAAUUUUGGACAAUGGGCGCAAGCCUGAUCCAGCCAUGCCGCGUGAGUGAAGAAGGCC